GCUGGGUGUGGUGGUGCAUGCCUGUAAUCCCAGCUACUUGGGAGGCUGAGGCAGGAGAAUCACUUGAACCCAGGAGGCAGAGGUUGCAGUGAGCAAAGAUCAUGCCACUGGACUCCAGCCUGGGUGACUGAGAGAGACUCUGUCUCAA
Non-coding RNA from Gorilla gorilla gorilla (western lowland gorilla), 148 nucleotides. It matches the Rfam family "Metazoan signal recognition particle RNA". Rfam says of the family: The signal recognition particle (SRP) is a universally conserved ribonucleoprotein. Lineage: Eukaryota; Metazoa; Chordata; Mammalia; Primates; Hominidae. The record is from Rfam.